AGAGAGAGAGAGAGAGAGAUCUCUGAUUUACGUGCUUUGGCAAUUCUAAAAAUGCCAAAUCUAAGUCAAAUGCAGCACAUGAGGAAGAUUAUUUCUCUUUCAUAGCACAUACCUUAGCUCUGUCUAAUAGUUCCAGAGCAGGUGAGCUCAAAGGAAGAAAGGUUGAAGUCUCAAGUCAAUGUACAGGUACCUCUGGGACAGAAGGUGACUACAAACUAUUCCACAACACUCUGCUUAUGGAGCAAGGAGAAUGGUGACUGAGGACAUUGCAGAAAACCCUGCUUUUAGUAAAACUGAAAGCAAUGAAACAUUGA
Molecule: long non-coding RNA, 314 nt
Organism: Malaclemys terrapin pileata
Lineage: Eukaryota; Metazoa; Chordata; Testudines; Emydidae
Exons: 3
Source: RefSeq, a predicted model, not a curated record